CCAGCAUGUGCCAGGGUCCCCAGGGCUGAGAUUGGGAACAACUGCAUUCGUUCCUUAAAGGUGUUACUGGAGAUAUUCUGUAAAGUUUUGUGCCUAUCUUUCUGACAGGUACAGCAAAUGUUGAACCUUAGACUUACACCUAAUAUUCAGAAGUGGAAAAUCCAGAAAGUAUAGUCCUAUCCAGCAUCUUGUUCCAACCACCUGGAUUUGCUAAUUAGCAGGAUUUGUCAGCCAGAAUAGUCUGGAGACAUGGUUCAACGAGAAGAAAACUUCGCUGGAUUUUUUUGUUCUGGGGCUGUGUCUGUUUCUUCUUGACUUUCUUUGUUCCUAUUUUAAUGAAGUCAUGGCUUAGAUUUUCAUUCAAAUGUGAUUCAGAUUCUCAUAAUAUUGUCUGUUUAUCAUUGAACAAAUUUCACUGCAGUGUUGCCAUAGAAACAGA
Molecule: long non-coding RNA, 439 nt
Organism: Anguilla anguilla (European eel)
Lineage: Eukaryota; Metazoa; Chordata; Actinopteri; Anguilliformes; Anguillidae
Exons: 2
Source: RefSeq, a predicted model, not a curated record